RNAcentral lists this unclassified non-coding RNA (449 nucleotides) under Hevea brasiliensis (rubber tree). The record is from RNAcentral. Lineage: Eukaryota; Viridiplantae; Streptophyta; Magnoliopsida; Malpighiales; Euphorbiaceae.
GGCUUGGUCACUAUAAUUUGGCAUCAAUCCAGUUUGCUCAAAGGAAGGGACUUGUUAGAGAUUUACCUGUUAUUGAAGUUUGUUCUGAUGUAUGUGAAAGUUGUCAGUUAGGAAAGCAACAUAGAUUGCCAUUUCCCAUUUCUGGUGCUUGGAGAGCAAAUGAAAAAUUAGAAUUGGUCCAUUCAGAUGUCUGCGGGCCAAUGAGCAAUCCUUCACUCAGUGACAACAAGUAUUUUAUCCUUUUCAUAGAUGAUUUCACAAGAAUGACUUGGGUCUACUUUCUCAAGCAAAAGUCUGAGGUGUUUUCUGUCUUCAAAAAAUUUAAAGCACUUGUUGAAGCUCAGAGUGGCUGCAAAUUGAAGACUCUAAGAACAGAUAAUGGGAAGGAAUAUACAUCUGGUGAUUUCAAUCAGUUUUGUGAAGACUUGGGAAUUCAACAUCAGUUAACG